AUGUCAUUCACUGAAAGGGAUGUAUUUACCGCCUCAAGCCCAAACUUUGUUUACACAUGUCAUGUUCUCCCGCUCGGGGCUCAGGCAGGCACAUGCACAUGCACCCCGUUGCGCAGCCCAAAAACCCUCGCCCAAAGCAGCAGCGCCGGCGGCAAGCCGCGGAGGUCCGCGUCCGCCAUCUUCGCCGACACGGCGAGCGGGCACCACCUCCUCACAAUCCACGGCUACUCCCGCACCAAGGGCGUUCCCACCGGGGAGCGCGUCAAGUCGCGCCCCUUCGACAUCGGCGGCCACCGCUGGCGGAUCGACUACUACCCCAACGGCGUGCGCGCGGAGGUCGCCGACUACGUGUCCCUCUCCCUGAUGCUCGACGAGGACGAGGACGAGGGCGUCGCGGCGGCGCCGGCGGUGAAGGCCCAGUACGACAUCCGCCUCGCCGGCGAGGCGGAGGACGAGGAUGAGGGGACGGCGCCGCUGUCGUCGGCGUCGGUGGACGACUUCACCCCCGGGAGGGGCUGGGUGUACACCACGUUCGUUUCCAGGGAGGAGCUGGAGGGCUCCGAGCAUCUCAGGAACGACUCCUUCACCGUCCGGUGCGACAUCAUAGUCGUCCGCGAUUACCGCGCCGAGGACGCGGCGGUAGGCUUCGUGUCCGUGCCCGCGUGCGACCUGCGCCGGGACCUCGCCGGCCUCCUCGAGACCGGGAAGGGCGCCGACGUGGUGUUCGAGGUCGGCGGCGAGACCGUCACCGCGCACCGGUGCGUGCUCGCGGCCCGCUCCUCGGUCUUCGCCGCCGAGCCUUCGGGCCGAUGA
RNAcentral lists this ribosomal RNA (813 nucleotides) under Triticum aestivum (bread wheat). RNAcentral describes it as "partial small subunit ribosomal RNA". Lineage: Eukaryota; Viridiplantae; Streptophyta; Magnoliopsida; Poales; Poaceae. The record is from RNAcentral.